Molecule: ribosomal RNA, 555 nt
Filed under: Triticum aestivum (bread wheat)
Lineage: Eukaryota; Viridiplantae; Streptophyta; Magnoliopsida; Poales; Poaceae
Description: partial small subunit ribosomal RNA
Source: RNAcentral
AUGCAACCAAUCUCAUCAAUAAGGAGGUCCAAGAAGUUGAUUAAACCCACACAUGACGUGGAGAAGAAAAAGAAAAGACGUAGAAGCAAAGGUAAAAAGGUAUCCCUCCCAAAUGAUGUUGCUCCUAUUAUUGUUAUGCCUCAUGAGAAUGAAUCAAAAAUAAAUGUGGAAGAUAAUAUACUUGAUGAUGAUAUUGAUUCUUUGUCUUAUGGUACAAUGUCCGAAGAAACUAUUGAGGAUGAUUUUGUUAUGCCUAUUACUCAUUGUGAUCAAUAUGAUUGGGAAAAUAAUGAUACUUCUUAUAAUCUUGAAAAUCUUUUUGGCACCAACUUAGAAAGUUGUGAUAAUAAUUGUUAUACUAUUCGUUUUAUUCAUACUACUAAUGAUGAGAGUGUUUAUGCUUAUGAUAUGCAAAGCCACAAGCUUGGGUAUGUUAUGUUUGAUGAGAAUGACAUGUUUGAGAAUUUAUUUGCUACAAUUAAUGUUUGUCCCAAGCUUGGGGAUGCUAUGUUUAAUGAAGAUGCUAUUUUUAGUCCCCCAAGUUUUGAUGUGUAA